GGGGUUGUGGCUUAGUGGUAGAGCACUUGCUUCACAUGCAUGAGGUACUGGUUUUGAUCCUCAGCACCA
Molecule: transfer RNA, 69 nt
Filed under: Urocitellus parryii (Arctic ground squirrel)
Lineage: Eukaryota; Metazoa; Chordata; Mammalia; Rodentia; Sciuridae
Also listed under: 1 other name
Description: Spermophilus parryii (Arctic ground squirrel) tRNA
Rfam family: tRNA
About the family: Transfer RNA (tRNA) molecules are approximately 80 nucleotides in length. Their secondary structure includes four short double-helical elements and three loops (D, anti-codon, and T loops).
Source: Rfam by way of RNAcentral